CGGGGUGAGUAACGCGUGAGGAACCUGCCUCAAAGAGGGGGACAACAGUUGGAAACGACUGCUAAUACCGCAUAAGCCCACGGCUCGGCAUCGAGCAGAGGGAAAAGGAGUGAUCCGCUUUGAGAUGGCCUCGCGUCCGAUUAGCUAGUUGGUGAGGUAACGGCCCACCAAGGCAACGAUCGGUAGCCGGACUGAGAGGUUGAACGGCCACAUUGGGACUGAGACACGGCCCAG
RNAcentral lists this ribosomal RNA (234 nucleotides) under uncultured bacterium. RNAcentral's name for it is "partial 16S ribosomal RNA". It matches the Rfam family "Bacterial small subunit ribosomal RNA", at positions 104 to 334 of the family's 1533-position model. The record is from RNAcentral.